GACGAACGCUGGCGGCGUGCUUAACACAUGCAAGUCGAACGGAAAGGCCUCUUUCGGGGGGUACUCGAGUGGCGAACGGGUGAGUAACACGUGAGUAACCUGCCCUUGACUUUGGGAUAACUUCAGGAAACUGGGGCUAAUACCGGAUAGGAGCUCCUGCUUCAUGGUGGGGGUUGGAAAGUUUCGGCGGUUGGGGAUGGACUCGCGGCUUAUCAGCUUGUUGGUGGGGUAGUGGCUUACCAAGGCUUUGACGGGUAGCCGGCCGGAGAGGGUGACCGGCCACAUUGGGACUGAGAUACGGCCCAGACUCCUACGGGAGGCAGCAGUGGGGAAUAUUGCACAAUGGGUGGAAGCCUGAUGCAGCAACGCCGUGUGCGGGAGGACGGCCUUCGGGUUGUAAACCGCUUUCGCUCAUGACGAAGCUUUGUGUGACGGUAGUGGGUAAAGAAGCACCGGCUAACUACGUG
This 467-nucleotide ribosomal RNA is filed under the name uncultured bacterium. RNAcentral's name for it is "partial 16S ribosomal RNA". It matches the Rfam family "Bacterial small subunit ribosomal RNA", at positions 28 to 507 of the family's 1533-position model. The record is from RNAcentral.